GUUGUAUAGUUAAGUGACUAAGCGUACAAGGUGGAUGCCUUGGCAAUCAGAGGCGAGGAAGGACGUGCUAAUCUGCGAAAAGCUUGGAUGAGUCGAUAAGAGGCGUUUAAUCCAAGAUGUCCGAAUGGGGAAACCCAGUAGAUGAAGAAUCUACUAUCACUUACUGAAUCCAUAGGUAAGUGAGGCAAACCGGGAGAACUGAAACAUCUAAGUACCCCGAGGAAAAGAAAUCAACCGAGAUUUCGUUAGUAGCGGCGAGCGAACGCGAAGGAGCCUGUUAGUGAUAAUGACAGAGACAGAGGAACAAGCUGGGAAGCUUGGCGAUACAGGGUGAUAGCCCCGUACUCGAAGUCCAGGUCAUGGUACUAAGCUAACGACAAGUAGGGCGGGACACGUGAUAUCCUGUUUGAAGAUGGGGGGACCAUCCUCCAAGGCUAAAUACUCCUGAUUGACCGAUAGUGAACCAGUACUGUGAAGGAAAGGCGAAAAGAACCCCGGUGAGGGGAGUGAAAUAGAACCUGAAACCUUGUACGUACAAGCAGUGGGAGCCCUUUUGGGGUGACUGCGUACCUUUUGUAUAAUGGGUCAGCGACUUAUAUUUUGUAGCGAGGUUAACCGAAUAGGGGAGCCGAAGGGAAACCGAGUCUUAACUGGGCGUCUAGUUGCAAGGUAUAGACCCGAAACCCGGUGAUCUAGCCAUGGGCAGGUUGAAGGUUGGGUAACACUAACUGGAGGACCGAACCGACUAAUGUUGAAAAAUUAGCGGAUGACUUGUGGCUGGGGGUGAAAGGCCAAUCAAACCGGGAGAUAGCUGGUUCUCCCCGAAAUCUAUUUAGGUAGAGCCUUGAGCGGACACCUUCGGGGGUAGAGCACUGUUUCGGCUAGGGGUCCAUCCCGGAUUACCAACCCGAUGCAAACUACGAAUACCGAAGAGUGAUACUCAGGAGACACACGGCGGGUGCUAACGUCCGUCGUGGAGAGGGAAACAACCCAGACCGCCAGCUAAGGUCCCAAAGUCUAUAUUAAGUGGGAAACGAAGUGGGAAGGCUUAGACAGCUAGGAUGUUGGCUUAGAAGCAGCCAUCAUUUAAAGAAAGCGUAAUAGCUCACUAGUCGAGUCGGCCUGCGCGGAAGAUGUAACGGGGCUCAAAUAUAGCACCGAAGCUGCGGCAUCAGACGAAAGUCUGUUGGGUAGGGGAGCGUUCUGUAAGCGGAUGAAGGUGGCUCGAGAGGGUUGCUGGACGUAUCAGAAGUGCGAAUGCUGACAUAAGUAACGAUAAAACGGGUGAAAAACCCGUUCGCCGGAAGACCAAGGGUUCCUGUCCAACGUUAAUCGGGGCAGGGUGAGUCGGCCCCUAAGGCGAGGCUGAAAAGCGUAGUCGAUGGGAAACGGGUUAAUAUUCCCGUACUUGGAUAAACUGCGAUGUGGGGACGGAGCAGGUUAGGUUAUCGCACUGUUGGAUAUGUGCGUUUAAGUUGGUAGGUGUGAAGUUUAGGCAAAUCCGGACUUCUUUAACACCGAGAGAUGAUGACGAGGCUCUACGGAGCUGAAGUAACCGAUACCACACUUCCAGGAAAAGCCACUAAGCUUCAGGUUUAUCUAAACCGUACUGAAAACCGACACAGGUGGUCAGGUAGAGAAUACUCAGGCGCUUGAGAGAACUCGGGUGAAGGAACUAGGCAAAAUAGCACCGUAACUUCGGGAGAAGGUGCGCCGGCGUAGAUUGUAGUCCCUUGCGGAUGAAGGUUGAACCGGUCGAAGAUACCAGCUGGCUGCAACUGUUUAUUAAAAACACAGCACUCUGCAAACACGAAAGUGGACGUAUAGGGUGUGAUGCCUGCCCGGUGCUGGAAGGUUAAUUGAUGGUGUAAUCGAAAGAGAAGCUCCUGAUCGAAGCCCCAGUAAACGGCGGCCGUAACUAUAACGGUCCUAAGGUAGCGAAAUUCCUUGUCGGGUAAGUUCCGACCUGCACGAAUGGCAUAAUGAUGGCCAGGCUGUCUCCACCCGAGACUCAGUGAAAUUGAAAUCGCCGUGAAGAUGCGGUGUACCCGCGGCUAGACGGAAAGACCCCGUGAACCUUUACUAUAGCUUGACACUGAACAUUGAAUUUUGAUGUGUAGGAUAGGUGGGAGACUUUGAAGAUGAUACGCCAGUAUUGUUGGAGUCGUCCUUGAAAUACCACCCUUUAACGUUUGAUGUUCUAACGAAGAUUACGAAACGUGGUCUCGGACAGUGUCUGGUGGGUAGUUUGACUGGGGCGGUCUCCUCCCAAAGAGUAACGGAGGAGCACGAAGGUUUGCUAAUGACGGUCGGACAUCGUCAGGUUAGUGCAAUGGUAUAAGCAAGCUUAACUGCGAGACAGACAAGUCGAGCAGGUACGAAAGUAGGUCAUAGUGAUCCGGUGGUUCUGAAUGGAAGGGCCAUCGCUCAACGGAUAAAAGGUACUCCGGGGAUAACAGGCUGAUACCGCCCAAGAGUUCAUAUCGACGGCGGUGUUUGGCACCUCGAUGUCGGCUCAUCACAUCCUGGGGCUGAAGUAGGUCCCAAGGGUAUGGCUGUUCGCCAUUUAAAGUGGUACGCGAGCUGGGUUUAGAACGUCGUGAGACAGUUCGGUCCCUAUCUGCCGUGGGCGUUGGAGAAUUGAAAGGGGCUGCUCCUAGUACGAGAGGACCGGAGUGGACGCACCGCUGGUGUUCCGGUUGUGUCGCCAGACGCAUUGCCGGGUAGCUAAGUGCGGAAGAGAUAAGUGCUGAAAGCAUCUAAGCACGAAACUUGCCUUGAGAUGAGUUCUCCCUGUCUUUAAGACAGUAAGGGUUGUUUAAGACUAAGACGUAGAUAGGUCUGGUGUGUAAGCGGUGUGAGCCGUUGAGCUAACAGAUACUAAUUGCCCGAGAGGCUUAACUAUACAACGCUCAAGGGUUUUG
Molecule: ribosomal RNA, 2924 nt
Filed under: Parahaemophilus parainfluenzae
Lineage: Bacteria; Pseudomonadati; Pseudomonadota; Gammaproteobacteria; Pasteurellales; Pasteurellaceae
Description: Haemophilus parainfluenzae bacterial LSU rRNA
Rfam family: Bacterial large subunit ribosomal RNA
Source: RNAcentral